This is a long non-coding RNA of Beta vulgaris subsp. vulgaris (sugar beet), 540 nucleotides long. RefSeq lists it as uncharacterized. The transcript has 2 exons. The record is from RefSeq and is a predicted model, not a curated record. NCBI's taxonomy places the organism in Eukaryota, Viridiplantae, Streptophyta, Magnoliopsida, Caryophyllales, Amaranthaceae.
UAUAGUGCAGUAAUUUUGUUGAUUCUUGAUUUAUUGUGAGUUUUUGUCUAUAUGGGUUGCUUCAGCUGCUUCUCAGGAAGCUCACAUAUGGUGGUGCUGUUUCUUUUCAGGUUUGCUAUGGUCUUCUUCUGCAGUACUUUGCUACAUUAACGAAUCAUAAACCAUUGAAUUUUCAUUUAUUGAACUUGCUUGUUAAGCCACUGAUGGAGAUGAGUGCAGAGAUUCCAUAUUUUUCAGCGAUUUGUGCUCGUGAACAAAUUUUAAGGACUCGUACAAAAUUCUCUGAGGAUAUCAAGGACCCAGGUGAUUGCGGAAUCCAACUAUUCAAACAAUUGAAGAAUAAUAUGAGGAAGAAAAUAGCAUGACACUAACAAAGAAUGAGGCAAUUGAAAAAUGGAAUGACACUAUUCAAACUAUUAGAUAUCUUUUUUUUUCUCUCUUGUAGUUUCCAAUUUCUUUUUACUGUAACAAUUGUGAACAACCAACGAGACAUGUUAGUUGAUUAAGGUGUUUAUAUAAAUGACAAUUAUUUAUUAUCUA